Transfer RNA from Camelus ferus (Wild Bactrian camel), 72 nucleotides. It matches the Rfam family "tRNA". Rfam says of the family: Transfer RNA (tRNA) molecules are approximately 80 nucleotides in length. Their secondary structure includes four short double-helical elements and three loops (D, anti-codon, and T loops). Further hydrogen bonds mediate the characteristic L-shaped molecular structure. tRNAs have two regions of fundamental functional importance: the anti-codon, which is responsible for specific mRNA codon recognition, and the 3' end, to which the tRNAs corresponding amino acid is attached (by aminoacyl-tRNA synthetases). tRNAs cope with the degeneracy of the genetic code in two manners: having more than one tRNA (with a specific anti-codon) for a particular amino acid; and 'wobble' base-pairing, i.e. permitting non-standard base-pairing at the 3rd anti-codon position. Lineage: Eukaryota; Metazoa; Chordata; Mammalia; Artiodactyla; Camelidae. The record is from Rfam.
GAGGGUAUAGCUCAGUGGGAGAGUGCAAGCUUAGUGUGCAUGAGGUCCUGGGUUCAAUCCCCAGUACCUCCA